GGGGGCACCCUGAUCCAGCGAUGCCGCGUGAGUGAAGAAGGCCUUCGGGUUGUAAAGCUCUUUAGGUUGGGAAGAAGUCUUGCCUGCUAAUAGUGGGUAAGGUUGACGGUACUAACAGAAUAAGCACCGGCAAACUCUGUGCCAGCAGCCGCGGUAAUACAGAGGGUGCGAGCGUUAAUCGGAAUGACUGGGCGUAAAGGGCGCGUAGGCGGAUUAGAAAGAGAUAUGUGAAAGCCCUGGGCUUAACCUAGGAAGUGCAUGUUUAACUGAUAAUCUGGAGUUUGGCAGAGGGA
This 293-nucleotide ribosomal RNA is filed under the name uncultured bacterium. Its description in RNAcentral is "partial 16S ribosomal RNA". It matches the Rfam family "Bacterial small subunit ribosomal RNA", at positions 374 to 659 of the family's 1533-position model. The record is from RNAcentral.